RNAcentral lists this transfer RNA (58 nucleotides) under Striatobalanus tenuis. Its description in RNAcentral is "tRNA-Ser". The record is from RNAcentral. Lineage: Eukaryota; Metazoa; Arthropoda; Thecostraca; Balanomorpha; Balanidae.
GAAAAUGAAACCUCUCGAAGCUGCUAACUUUGAGCCUUGCUAUUUUGUAACAUUUUCU